GAUGAACGCUGGCGGCGUGCUUAACACAUGCAAGUCGAACGAUGAAGCCCAGCUUGCUGGGUGGAUUAGUGGCGAACGGGUGAGUAACACGUGAGGAACCUGCCCUCUACUCUGGGAUAAGCCUGGGAAACUGGGUCUAAUACUGGAUAUGACUUCUCAUCGCAGGGUGGGGGGUGGAAAGAUUUCUUGGUCUUGGAUGGACUCGCGGCCUAUCAGCUUGUUGGUGAGGUAAUGGCUCACCAAGGCGACGACGGGUAGCCGGCCUGAGAGGGUGACCGGCCACGCUGGGGCUGGGACACGACCCAGACUCCUGCGGGAGGCAGCAGCGGGGAAUCUUGCACGAUGGGCGCGAGCCUGCUGCAGCGACGCCGCGUGCGGGAUGACGGCCUUCGGGUUGUACACCUCUUUCCGUGGGGGAGUACCGGGCGUGACGGUACCUGCAGGAGCAGCGCCGGCUAGCUACGUG
This 466-nucleotide ribosomal RNA is filed under the name uncultured bacterium. Its description in RNAcentral is "partial 16S ribosomal RNA". It matches the Rfam family "Bacterial small subunit ribosomal RNA", at positions 28 to 507 of the family's 1533-position model. The record is from RNAcentral.